This 109-nucleotide microRNA precursor is filed under the name Otolemur garnettii (small-eared galago). Its description in RNAcentral is "miRNA (ENSOGAG00000024810.1)". The stretch from base 17 to 87 matches the Rfam family "mir-503 microRNA precursor family". The record is from RNAcentral. Lineage: Eukaryota; Metazoa; Chordata; Mammalia; Primates; Galagidae.
GCCCCACACUCAGCCGUGCCCUAGCAGCGGGAACAGUACUGCAGUAAACCAUUAGUACUCUGGAGUAUUGCUUCUGCUGCCUGAGUAAGUCUGAGACUCCCGCAUGGCC